CAUGUCUGCUUGCCAUUCUCUCCUGCAUCUCCUUGAGCUCAGCAUCAAGUGCAAUACAGAGCCGGUCUUGAGAUUUAGCCGACACUGACUCAGCUAACAACUUUCGGCAGCUUUCUAGGAUGGAACUUGCACCAACCAGGUCUCCUUUCUCAGCAGCUGCUCGCGCCUGAGCCAUUGCUUCAGCUGCUCGGAGUCUGUUCUGCUGCCUGUCCAACAACUUUCGGCAGUUUUCUAGGAUGGAACUUGCACCAACCAGGUCUCCUUUCUCAGCAGCUGCUCGCGCCUGAGCCAUUGCUCCAGCUGCUCGGAGUCUGUUAUACUGCCUGUCCACUUCGAUUGAAACACGCUCUUGUACAACCUUUUCAGGUCUCUUUAUUUUAAGUUCUUCAGUUCUGA
Molecule: long non-coding RNA, 396 nt
Filed under: Nicotiana benthamiana
Lineage: Eukaryota; Viridiplantae; Streptophyta; Magnoliopsida; Solanales; Solanaceae
Description: long non-coding RNA (NBEN_LNC022080)
Source: RNAcentral